Molecule: ribosomal RNA, 373 nt
Filed under: uncultured bacterium
Lineage: Bacteria
Description: bacterial SSU rRNA
Rfam family: Bacterial small subunit ribosomal RNA
Source: RNAcentral
UACGGAGGGUGCAAGCGUUAUCCGGAUUCACUGGGUUUAAAGGGUGCGUAGGCGGGUUUGUAAGUCAGUGGUGAAAUCCCCGAGCUUAACUUGGGAACUGCCAUUGAUACUGCAAAUCUUGAAUUUUCUGGAGGUAAGCGGAAUAUGUCAUGUAGCGGUGAAAUGCUUAGAUAUGACAUAGAACACCCAUUGCGAAGGCAGCUUACUACGGGAACAUUGACGCUGAGGCACGAAAGCGUGGGGAUCAAACAGGAUUAGAUACCCUGGUAGUCCACGCCCUAAACGAUGAUUACUCGACAUUAGCGAUAUUACUGUUAGUGUCUAAGCGAAAGCAUUAAGUAAUCCACCUGGGAAGUACGACCGCAAGGUUGAA